This 73-nucleotide transfer RNA is filed under the name Stegodyphus mimosarum. It matches the Rfam family "tRNA". Rfam says of the family: Transfer RNA (tRNA) molecules are approximately 80 nucleotides in length. Their secondary structure includes four short double-helical elements and three loops (D, anti-codon, and T loops). The record is from Rfam by way of RNAcentral. Lineage: Eukaryota; Metazoa; Arthropoda; Arachnida; Araneae; Eresidae.
GUCUUCGUGGUGCAGUGGUCAACACGCUCGGCGCGAAUUCGAGAGGUCCGGGGUUCGAAUCCCAGCGAGAGCA